CCUACGGGCGGCAGCAGUGAGGAAUAUUGGUCAAUGGUCGGGAGACUGAACCAGCCAAGCCGCGUGAGGGAUGAAGGUACAGAGUAUCGUAAACCUCUUUUGUCAGGGAACAAAGGCGGGGCCGUGUCCCCGGAUGAGUGUACCUGAAGAAAAAGCAUCGGCAAACCCCGUGCAAGCAGCCGCGGUAAUACGGAGGAUGCGAGGGUUUUCCGGAUUUAGUGGGUUAAAAGGGUGCGCAGGCGGUUUGUAAAGUCAGCGUUCAAAGCCCGGGGCUAAACCCCGUCCCGCCGUUGAAACUGGGGGUCUCGAGUGGGAGAGAGGUAUGCGGAAUGCGCGGUGUAGCGGUGAAAGGCAUAGAUAUCACGCAGAACUCCGAUUGCGAAGGCAGCAUGCCGGUUCCACACUGACGCUGAGGCACGAAAGCGUGGGUAUCGAACAGGAUUAGAUACCCGAGUAGUC
RNAcentral lists this ribosomal RNA (459 nucleotides) under uncultured bacterium. RNAcentral describes it as "partial 16S ribosomal RNA". It matches the Rfam family "Bacterial small subunit ribosomal RNA", at positions 338 to 795 of the family's 1533-position model. The record is from RNAcentral.